This 227-nucleotide long non-coding RNA is filed under the name Nicotiana benthamiana. RNAcentral describes it as "long non-coding RNA (NBEN_LNC037888)". The record is from RNAcentral. Lineage: Eukaryota; Viridiplantae; Streptophyta; Magnoliopsida; Solanales; Solanaceae.
UUUUUCUCUUCCGAACUUGCUUUAGUUCCAAGCUUUUCUUAAAACGUGUUCCUUCUACUCUCACUGUGCUUCAAAUCAGUUUCUUCACUCUAUUUUCUUCAAAUUUGCUAUUGUAUAUGUUUUUUUUCUCAUGAGUCUCUGAAACAGAUCUCUGAGCCCGUUUCAACUACUUGUCUCCUCGUCUCUAUAUCUGAUUCGACUUAGAAACCCUGGAAUUUGGGGGGAGG